This 391-nucleotide ribosomal RNA is filed under the name archaeon enrichment culture DGGE band DS19. RNAcentral's name for it is "bacterial SSU rRNA". It matches the Rfam family "Archaeal small subunit ribosomal RNA", at positions 453 to 845 of the family's 1478-position model. The record is from RNAcentral.
UUGUGUCAGCCGCCGCGGUAAUACCGGCGGCCCAAGUGGUGGCCACUAUUAUUGGGCCUAAAGCGUCCGUAGCCGGCCCAGUAAGUCUCUGCUUAAAUCCUGCGGCUCAACCGCAGGGCUGGCAGAGAUACUGCUGGGCUUGGGACCGGGAGAGGCCGGGGGUACCCCAGGGGUAGCGGUGAAAUGCGUUGAUCCCUGGGGGACCACCUGUGGCGAAGGCGCCCGGCUGGAACGGGUCCGACGGUGAGGGACGAAGGCCAGGGGAGCAAACCGGAUUAGAUACCCGGGUAGUCCUGGCUGUAAACUAUGCGGACUAGGUGUCGCGUCGGCUUCGGGCCGACGCGGUGCCGAAGGGAAGCCGUUAAGUCCGCCGCCUGNGGAGUACGUCGCA